GCCUUCAUAGCUCAACCGGAUAGAGCAUCGGUCCUCGGAACCGAAGGUUCAGGGUUCGACCCCCUGCGAAGGCACUA
RNAcentral lists this transfer RNA (77 nucleotides) under Bifidobacterium callitrichidarum. RNAcentral describes it as "tRNA-Arg". It matches the Rfam family "tRNA". From Rfam's summary of the family: Transfer RNA (tRNA) molecules are approximately 80 nucleotides in length. Their secondary structure includes four short double-helical elements and three loops (D, anti-codon, and T loops). The record is from RNAcentral. Lineage: Bacteria; Bacillati; Actinomycetota; Actinomycetes; Bifidobacteriales; Bifidobacteriaceae.